RNAcentral lists this ribosomal RNA (427 nucleotides) under uncultured bacterium. RNAcentral describes it as "bacterial SSU rRNA". It matches the Rfam family "Bacterial small subunit ribosomal RNA", at positions 355 to 774 of the family's 1533-position model. The record is from RNAcentral.
UAAGGAAUAUUGGACAAUGGGCGCAAGCCUGAUCCAGCCAUGCCGCGUGAGUGAAGAAGGCCCUCGGGUUGUAAAGCUCUUUUGUCCGGAAAGAAAAGCAUCGGGUUAAUACCCCGGUGUUCUGACGGUACCGGAAGAAUAAGCACCGGCUAACUUCGUGCCAGCAGCCGCGGUAAUACGAAGGGUGCAAGCGUUACUCGGAAUUACUGGGCGUAAAGCGUGCGUAGGUGGUUCGUUAAGUCUGAUGUGAAAGCCCUGGGCUCAACCUGGGAAUGGCAUUGGAAACUGGCGGACUGGAGUGCGGUAGAGGGUAGCGGAAUUCCCGGUGUAGCAGUGAAAUGCGUAGAGAUCGGGAGGAACAUCCGUGGCGAAGGCGGCUACCUGGACCAGCACUGACACUGAGGCACGAAAGCGUGGGGAGCAAACA